This 253-nucleotide ribosomal RNA is filed under the name uncultured bacterium. RNAcentral describes it as "partial 16S ribosomal RNA". It matches the Rfam family "Bacterial small subunit ribosomal RNA", at positions 524 to 776 of the family's 1533-position model. The record is from RNAcentral.
UACGUAGGGCGCGAGCGUUGUCCGGAAUUACUGGGCGUAAAGAGCUCGUAGGUGGUUUGUCGCGUUGUUCGUGAAAACUCACAGCUUAACUGUGGGCGUGCGGGCGAUACGGGCAGACUGGAGUACUGCAGGGGAGACGGGAAUUUCUGGUGUAGCGGUGGAAUGCGCAGAUAUCAGGAGGAACACCGGUGGCGAAGGCGGGUCUCUGGGCAGUAACUGACGCUGAGGAGCGAAAGCGUGGGGAGCGAACAGG